CAGGGAGACAAAACUGAUUAAGAUGUCUGAUUAAAACUAUUAGGCCUUAAUCCUGUCACCUUAGGUCGAUCGGUACCUCAGAUUGAUAACUAUAAAUGAGGAUUAAUUCUUAAUUAUUAGUUUUUCAGUUUUAGUUCCUAAACUUGUCUAGGUCACACCCAACAAACUUUCUCCUGGGCUAUUAGCUCAGGCGGUUAGAGCGCACCCCUGAUAAGGGUGAGGCCCCUGGUUCAAGUCCAGGAUGGCCCAUUCGUUGUUGGGGGUAUAGCUCAGUUGGUAGAGCGCCUGCUUUGCAAGCAGGAUGUCAGCGGUUCGAGUCCGCUUACCUCCACUGAUCAACUACCUGAUAACUCAAUUAAUGGAGAUUGUUAUUUGGUCAAUGUGAUUUAGAUAUUGUUCAACUGAAUGAACCUAGCUUCCUAUCAAUUUUGAUUAUUUUUAGCUGAUAAGACGCUGGGCUCACUGGUAUUCUAAGGAUUAUCAGUUUAACUCAGUAGAACCUUGACAACUGCAUAGAAAAAUCUAGAAAAAUAAAGCAUCUCAUAGAUGCAUAGCAAUAUAUAUUCAAAAUUUUGUAUAUAUGUUUUCUAUGUUCAAUUCUUGAGUUAGAGCAUAAAUUCAUUUAAUAAAAAUGAAUUUAAUU
Molecule: transfer RNA, 643 nt
Filed under: uncultured cyanobacterium
Lineage: Bacteria; Bacillati; Cyanobacteriota
Description: partial miscellaneous RNA
Rfam family: tRNA (bases 259-331)
Source: RNAcentral